AGUGAACGCUGGCGGUAGGCCUAACACAUGCGAGUCGAACGGCAGCACAGUAAGAGCUUGCUCUUACGGGUGGCGAGUGGCGGACGGGUGAGGAACACAUCGGAAUCUACUUUUUCGUGGGGGAUAACGUAGGGAAACUUACGCUAAUACCGCAUACGACCUACGGGUGAAAGCAGGGGAUCUUCGGACCUUGCGCGAUUGAAUGAGCCGAUGUCGGAUUAGCUAGUUGGCGGGGUAAAGGCCCACCAAGGCGACGAUCCGUAGCUGGUCUGAGAGGAUGAUCAGCCACACUGGAACUGAGACACGGUCCAGACUCCUACGGGAGGCAGCAGUGGGGAAUAUUGGACAAUGGGCGCAAGCCUGAUCCAGCCAUACCGCGUGGGUGAAGAAGGCCUUCGGGUUGUAAAGCCCUUUUGUUGGGAAAGAAAAGCAGCAGGUUAAUACCCCGCUGUUCUGACGGUACCCAAAGAAUAAGCACCGGCUAACUUCGUG
RNAcentral lists this ribosomal RNA (492 nucleotides) under uncultured bacterium. RNAcentral's name for it is "partial 16S ribosomal RNA". It matches the Rfam family "Bacterial small subunit ribosomal RNA", at positions 29 to 507 of the family's 1533-position model. The record is from RNAcentral.